AUAUUUGAAAAUAACUAAAUUAUUAUAAAGUAUCCAAACUACCAAAAAAUAUCCGAAAUCCGAAACUAUCAGAAAUCCGAAACUAUCCGAAUAGUAUUAUCUGAAAUAUCCAAAAUAAUCUGAAAUAUCUAAAUUUUUUAUCUAAAUCAUCGUAAUUUUUUUAAUAUUUUAUCCUAAAUAACCGAUAUUUUACCCGAACUAUCCGAACUACCCGAACCGGAACCAAAACCAAAUGAGAACCGAUUUUUUCGGGUAUUUUUGGGUUCUUAAUUUUACUAUCCGAACCGAACCAAAAUCGAAACUAUCUGAACCAAACCGAACCAAAAAUAUGUGAAGUAGUAAAUGAAUCCUCUAACCCCCUACCCGAACUACCCGAUACCUGAAAUACCCUAACCGAACCAAAUCAAAACCCGAAAUUCCCAUGCCUAACUAUCAAUAUAUGGUUUGUAUUUUAUAU
This 457-nucleotide long non-coding RNA is filed under the name Brassica napus (rape). RNAcentral's name for it is "long non-coding RNA (BNAP_LNC017289)". The record is from RNAcentral. Lineage: Eukaryota; Viridiplantae; Streptophyta; Magnoliopsida; Brassicales; Brassicaceae.